CAUCUUUGUGUUGAGCACCUUGUGAUUGGGCCCACGCCCCCUUCUACCCUCACGACGCUCACCGGAGGCCGAUAUCUCCUUUCUUUUUUCUUUUGGCUCUUUCAUGGGCUGUGCACAGCGCAGCGCAGAAACGGGCGUUGUGUCGCUCAGUAUACCAUCACUACUCUCACCUAUCCACCCACGCCAGCACAGCAACGCCUCCCACACACCCAAGGCCAUCCCCGCGAACACUCGCUGUUUUUGUGGUUUCGUUUUCUUGUUCGCUUUUUGUGCUGUGCUGAACGCCCUCGCCUGGGCCUUUGCUGCUUCACGCGCGUGGGGGCGCUCCGUUUUUCGUUUUUCUUUCGCGUGCCGUGUUGUCUUCCGCUCUCUUCAUUGCUCUGCCGCUCACCCUCUGACUGUCGAUGCCGCUCAAAGGCGAGGAGGCGGGGAACUUCCCGCGCUACUUCAGCCCGACGCACCCACGCAAAGGAUAUGCGGAGGAUGCCGCCAGUAGUGUGGACGAUGUUUAUCCCAUUGACCUGACGAUAUCGCACCGGUCCCGUAACCAAAACUUGCCUCCCCUGAAGCGCUACUGGCGCGCGCGCAGUGUCCGCCGCAACCUUGCCCAGACGAACGAACUGGAUGAGCUGGAGAAUCGGGCACAUGCGCAGAAGAGCCUGUCGUGGUCGAACACCCACGCGGCCCACACCAGAGAGAACGACUUUACGUACAUUUCCGGGCCAAAGUACUUCUUCCAGCAGUUUGUGCGCCAGUACCCGAUCGCGGCCUUCUUUGUUUGGACGUUCCUGUUUCUGGUGGAGCUUUCCAUGGUGGCGCUCUACAUUAUGCAGUCCACCGUGAGCUACAACGUCACCUGGGUCCAGUACGACACCCGCGAGCGCAGCGGGUGGUUCUACGCCCGCUCCGUGCUCUCGUUCAUCUCGCUGGUGCAGAUGUUCUUUGCCUACUCGCUGAGCGUGAUGACUAUCACGGUGGUGCUCAUCACAUCCAUUUACCAAAUCGUCAUCUUCUUCGUCUCUAUCCCGUCGAAUCUCGGCUGGGUCAGUCGCCUGUACGUUCCUUACUUCAUGCGGUGCUGGCCGAUGCGGCAGUACUUUCUCUUCAUCCUCGACUCGGUCGCGCUGAUGAUGCCGCGCAACCGCAAGCUGGACUUGCUACGGCUGGCUGCGGGCCCGCUGACCCUCUUUAUCUGCAUGGUGUUCUCUGCCUCUGGUUUCUUCCGCAUCGACCAGUGCUUCCAGGGGUACCCUAUGAACGUGGCGGUCUCCAUCUACUUCGUCAUUGUAACUGUGUCGACGGUCGGCUUUGGCGAUGUGGUGCCCAAGACACCGGACGGCAAAGCCAUCACCAUUGUCAUCAUCUUCGUCUUUAUUGCGAAGAUGCCUACGUUUAUCCGCGUCAUCCGCUCGACAGCGAAGAUUUUGAAGGCGUACCGCUCCUAUACUGGCCGCAAAAACCACUUUAUCGUGUACGGCCACGUCAACCGCGAGGAGGUCAUCUCGAUUUUGGACGAGGUGUUCUGCCUGUAUCCAAUGAAGUCCGUGUGCUUCUGCAGCAAAGAGUUUGCGCCGGACGUGCUCUCGAUCGGCCGGCACCCUACCUACCGGCUGCGCAGCACGUUCCUCAUUGUGGACACACUGGACACCUUCGCGCUGCGUCGCAUGAAGGCACAAGAGGCGUCGGCAGUCAUCAUCUUCCCCAUUCGCGAGGGCUACUCCUCACGCGUCGAUGAUGACGUGAUGCUGGCGGCCAUCAUAUUUGAGCGUUUUGUGCCGAAGGUGCCGCAGUACGUGUGGCUGCGCUACGGCCUUCACGCAAAGCUGCUGAAGGGGCAGCGCUCCUGUGUGAUCGAUGAGCACAUGAAAAAGAAUAUUAUGGCGAGUGCGCUGCUGCUUCCGGGAAUUGUUCCGUUCUUGGUGAAUCUCGUACGCACGGCGUGGGCCGAGGGCGAAGAACCGGCAGAUCUGUGGACGGAGAAGGGCGUCGAUCAGUGGAAGAGUCAAUACGAGUACAGCCGGCGCAACGUGAUCAGCACAUGCCCGGUGCCGCUGCGCUUCGUAGGCGCGACGUUUGGGCAGGUGGUAGCAAGCUUCAAGUACCGUGACGUGCUCAUCGUCAGCGUGGAGGACAACGCAAGCAAGACAAUGCGCUUUGAACUCAACUACCGUCUGGAAGAGCAUGAUGUCCUGAUGGCCGUGUACGAGCGCACGCGCAACAGCCUGUCGCGCGCGCUGGAGGAGUUCAGCUCCCCCGGGCCACUGAACGAGGCGGCCAGGGAGACGUACGGCGCCCACUUCCGCCAGGACCUCGACAAGGGCGAGCUUCUGCACGAGAAUAUGAACUCCUCUUUUGUUUUCUACCCAUACAAAAGCUCCGCCUCUCUGUGCGACAUGGUGCCGCUGCAGAGCACCGUAGCCACCGGCGGCGGUGCAGCAGACAAAGAGGACGACCACGCCGACCUGAAGUCCGAGGACGAGGUGGUGUCCGUGGAAGAGGUUCGGCAGGCGCUCAUGAGCAUCUCAGAUGUCGUGCGUGCCCCGUGCGGUAUUCCGCUCGCUUCGCUGCAGUUGCGUCGAAAUACCACCUCCCACCUGUGGUACCUCACACGGCGUCGCCAAAGCCUUCUGUCGGAUUCGACCAUACCAGCGGACGAUCGCGAAGAGGAGCUUCGCUGUGUGACGGACCAGAUCAACGCAACGAUCCUCAAGGCCGCCGACGCGUAUCUAUCGGCGAUCUCUGAGCAUGACCGCCAGGCCAUGGAGUCGAAGCACCAGGACGAGGUCUUUCUCUUUAUUGAUCAGACUAGCUCUAUUCUUCGCAAGACGACCACGUCCGUUUACGAGGACGUCAUUUCGCAGACGAUUGCGCAGUACGAGCUGUACGUGAUGAUGCAGUGCAUCUGCGCGGUGCACGCCCACUCCCGCCUGACUCUUCUGACGCUGCGCAAGUAUCCGCCCCAGUUUCUGCAGACCUGGAAAGAGAUCUUUGGGACACCACUGCGCUACAUUCGAGGUCAGGGCUCCUUGGACGCGCACCUGAACUACGCCUUGACGGCGGACACGGACGUCAGCAAUGUGCGAGGCAUUCUCUUGUACUGCUCGCAGAUGGGGCCACGCGACUUUGGUGACGUUCCCAUCUGCUCCGUCGAGAACAGCGUGCGCGAUUUGCUGGAGUGGAAUGAGCAGACGCGGGAUGGGCUGAGCGGCGCGCGUGAGCAGAACAUCGUCGUAGAGCUGCAGUCCUUCCUCUUUUCUAUCAAGGUGUCCCCCUUCCACAACGAUGCAGUGUGGCGCUCGCGUGGCGAGGAAAAUUUUCAGGAGACACUCGCCUUUAUGAUGGGUCGGUUUUUUUCCUCGAACAUGCUCUUCACAAUUCUCAUCCAUAGCCACCGUGACUCGCGCAUCGUCAAGUUCUUCGAGAUGGCCCUCAACCUCACGUCCACUGCGGAGAUGUUUGACAAGGCGGUGUGGACAAACCGCACGGCACAGUCACAGACGCUCUUCAAGCUGUGCGGUAACCAGUCCCUGCACUUUGAGACCUUCGGUGACGCGUUUGAGUUUCUUCUUUCGAAGCGGAAGUGUGUGGCGAUCGGCGUGUUUCGGUUGUUCCCGGCAUCCGAGAUGCUGAGUGGCACGCCGCGCUACUUUGUGACCAACCCGCCGAUGUGCAUGCCGCUGCUGAUGGAGGAUAUCAUUUAUUGUCUGGACGGCAGCUUGAACAUGGUGCGAACGUAGCGCACCCAUGGCCAAAGGGCUGCAGAGGCGAUGAAUACGGCAGAUUUGAAGUAAGUGCGUAUGGUAACUGGUAGGCAUGCGUGUGUCUACGUUGUUGACGUCAGCAAGUGUUUUUCUCUCACGGUCAUACGAAUGGCAUCACGUUUUCUUUUUGUUGCCCAAUUCGCGUCUCCUCCGGUCGCUCAUGCCGUUAUCACUUGCCGAUCGCUUUCCCGCUACCUCUAUAUUCUUGCGCUUGCUGGCGAGUCGAGGCAGUGGCGCGCUCCCGCAAUACUCGUUGCGUUUCUAUCUCAUUCACCCACCCUCACACGUCGAAGCGCGACUCGAGUCCCCUUGAGAGAGUUUCUUCAACGCGAAAACGGCCGCUCCUGUGCACUGACCUGCUCUAGGCGUUUCGCGUUUUUUUAUGUUUCUGUUCUUCUUUGGUUAUUGUCUACGCUGCGCGCUGGAGCGUCGCUUGUGCGGUGUAUGUUUCCCGGGUCUCUGUCUCUCUUUGCAGUUGUGUAUGGAUGUGCGACUGUGCGCGUAUGUCCUCCGACGCUCCCUUCUCUGUUCUCUGUUGCGGCAGGUGCUGAGUGUUAACGCCUCCGCGAGGGCUGACACACAGGCCUUGCUUGCGUGCUGCAAGUCGUCGGGCAUCUCCUGCUUUGCUGCUGUCAAGAGGGAUGCGUGGAGGCUAGCGGCGGAGGUGGUGGUGAAGAGCACGACAGACGAUGGCGGUGCUGGAGAGCUCAACGUGUGAGAUAGAGGAUCAGACACGCGCAUCACACACUGCAAGAGGAGAGAAGAAGCGAGAGGGCACAGCGCGUUGCCACCGCUCGCCUUCUGCUUCUUUCGAUGCUUUGUGCUCAGGCGAGUGCGGACGGUAGACGGAGGGCGACGGGAGAAGUCGAUACGACUGCUGAUUGGCGGCUCGGGCCACGGUGCUUUAUGCUUGUGCGCCCUAACAUUUUUCUGCUGCUGUUGGCCACCGUCCACCUCGUUGACUUCUCCUUUGCAUGGAUCACGCCUCCUUCCCUUUUCUGUGCUGAUAGAACGAGAUAAAGAGCCUUAAAGUCGGCCGCCAUGCUCAUUGAGCAUGGCGGCGCACGUUGAGAGACAUUACCAGUUUCGACGAACCGCCGCAGAAAAGACAGAAUGGCUGGUGCACAGGUGCAUAGGUUGCAUAUUGCUGGUUUUUCUUGCGCACCGCGCCCCCUACCUCUUUCCAUGAUGACGAGGCGACACUGCUCGGUGCGUGGCAUCACAGGGCUGCGUGUAUUUUCAGUCUGUGGGGAAGCAAAGCAGCCCUGCUAUCCCCCCCCCCCUACCGAUGCGGAGCCACCUCUGAUGGUGACAGGGCCAAGCACCUACGGCGUAGGGGGAGGCCGGCGCUAUGCACCGCUGCUGAUGCCGGCGGUGAUGUGGAGGAUGGCGUUGCUCCGGAGCGACCUGCGACCGUGGACACGUGUGUGCCGCCGAUACGAUGGGCGAAGUGUCAGCGCGACUGCAGCGCAUCUCACCCGGCCCUGACUGUGCUGGUGGUGAGGGGAGCCUGAGCGCCCGCCCACGGCUGCACCGCGUGCUGGUUGGGACAAUGCGAGCGUCUGCGAGGCGACCUGCGGGGCGGAUGUGGGUGGGUCGAGCUUGAGGCGGAUGCCGUGCUCAGAUGACUGAGUGGGCGCGUUGCCGUGGCGUGUGUGUGUGUGUGCGGCUGCUUGGCACCACGCGAUGGGGCCCUGUGAGAAUGGCGGGCGGUGCAGCAGAGCUUGACUGAUUUAGUGUGGCCAAGAACGAGGCCCACUGAGAAAAAAA
RNAcentral lists this unclassified non-coding RNA (5531 nucleotides) under Leishmania donovani. RNAcentral describes it as "gene:LdHU3.20.0110(CDS-product:Ion_channel/Calciu m-activated_BK_potassium_channel_alpha_subunit_putative)". Lineage: Eukaryota; Euglenozoa; Kinetoplastea; Trypanosomatida; Trypanosomatidae. The record is from RNAcentral.